UACGUAGGGUGCAAGCGUUUGUCCGGAAUUAUUGGGCGUAAAGAGCUCGUAGGCGGUCUGUUGCGUCGGCUGUGAAAACCCGGGGCUCAACUCCGGGCCUGCAGCCGAUACGGGCAGACUAGAGUUCGGCAGGGGAGACUGGAAUUCUGGUGUAGCGGUGAAAUGCGCAGAUAUCAGGAGGAACACCGGUGGCGAAGGCGGGUCUCUGGGCCGAUACUGACGUGAGGAGCGAAAGCGUGGGGAGCGAACAGG
This 252-nucleotide ribosomal RNA is filed under the name uncultured bacterium. Its description in RNAcentral is "partial 16S ribosomal RNA". It matches the Rfam family "Bacterial small subunit ribosomal RNA", at positions 524 to 776 of the family's 1533-position model. The record is from RNAcentral.